UCUCUCUUUCUAACUUCCCACCUUGCCAAUUUCCUAACUUCGAAUCUUGCCAACUUCCUAACUUGCCAACUUCCUAACCUGUGACGUUCCCUAUUUGCUGAUUUCCUAACUUUCCACCUUCCCAUCUUGCCAACUUCUCACCUUGCCGCCUUCCCAACUUCCUAACUUGCCGCCUUCCCAAUUUCCUAACUUGCCGCCUUCCCAACUUCCUAACUUGCUGCCUUCCCAACAUCCUAACUUGCCACCUUCCCAAUUUGCCAAUUUCCUAACUUGCCGCCUUCCCAAUUUGAUAACUUCCCAACUUGCCACCUUCCCAACUUCCUAACCCGUCAUCUUCCCAAUUUGACAACUUCCUAACUUCCCACCUUGCCAACUUCUCACCUUGCCAACUUGCCACUUUCCCAACUUCCUACCUUGUCGCCUUCCUAAUUUCCCAACUUCCUAACUUGCCUAUUUCCCAACUUCCUAAUUUCCCGACGUUCUAAAUUAUCAACUUCCCAACAGUGUUCAGCUACAAUUGGGUCAUUUUGUGUUAUUUUUCUGCACACCAAAGCACAUAUUUUGGGGGCAAACCCUGUCAUCCAGACGACAUCCAGCUAAGCCUAGCCCUUCCCUGCAGUCAGGUCGGGGUCCUCGAGCCCAACCCAGCUGGGAAGUUAGUUAAGGCUUGACUCCCGUCCAGGGGAGUGAAGUCAGCCGUUGGAUUUGAGGUCUGCUUGCGGC
This 723-nucleotide long non-coding RNA is filed under the name Anolis carolinensis (green anole). RNAcentral describes it as "lncRNA (ENSACAG00000034713.1)". Lineage: Eukaryota; Metazoa; Chordata; Lepidosauria; Squamata; Anolidae. The record is from RNAcentral.